Molecule: ribosomal RNA, 460 nt
Filed under: uncultured bacterium
Lineage: Bacteria
Description: partial 16S ribosomal RNA
Rfam family: Bacterial small subunit ribosomal RNA
Source: RNAcentral
CCUACGGGAGGCAGCAGUGAGGAAUAUUGGUCAAUGGACGAGAGUCUGAACCAGCCAAGUAGCGUGAAGGAUGACUGCCCUAUGGGUUGUAAACUUCUUUUAUAUGGGAAUACAAUGUUCCACGUGUGGGAUUUUGUAUGUACCAUAUGAAUAAGGAUCGGCCAACUCCGUGCCAGCAGCCGCGGUAAUACGGAGGAUCCGAGCGUUAUCCGGAUUUAUUGGGUUUAAAGGGAGCGUAGGUGGAUUGUUGAGUCAGUUGUGAAAGUUUGCGGCUCAACCGUAAAAUUGCAGUUGAAACUGGCAGUCUUGAGUACAGUAGAGGUGGGCGGAAUUCGUGGUGUAGCGGUGAAAUGCUUAGAUAUCACGAAGAACUCCGAUUGCGAAGGCAGUUCACUGGACUGCAACUGACACUGAGGCUCGAAAGUGUGGGUAUCAAACAGGAUUAGAUACCCCUGUAGUC